GGUGAACGCUGGCGGCAGGCCUAACACAUGCAAGUCGAGCGGCAGCGCGGGGGCAACCCUGGCGGCGAGCGGCGACGGGUGAGGAAUACAUCGGAAUCUGCCUUGUUGUGGGGGAUAACGUAGGGAAACUUACGCUAAUACCGCAUGAGACCGUAAGGUGAAAGUGGGGGAUCGCAAGACCUCACGCGACAAGAUGAGCCGAUGUCGGAUUAGCUAGUUGGUGAGGUAAAGGCUCACCAAGGCAACGAUCCGUAGCUGGUCUGAGAGGAUGAUCAGCCACACUGGGACUGAGACACGGCCCAGACUCCUACGGGAGGCAGCAGUGGGGAAUAUUGGACAAUGGGCGCAAGCCCUGAUCCAGCCAUGCCGCGUGUGUGAAGAAGGCCUUCGGGUUGUAAAGUCACUUUUGUUGGGUAAAGGAAAUACCUGUCGA
RNAcentral lists this ribosomal RNA (433 nucleotides) under uncultured bacterium. RNAcentral describes it as "bacterial SSU rRNA". It matches the Rfam family "Bacterial small subunit ribosomal RNA", at positions 28 to 462 of the family's 1533-position model. The record is from RNAcentral.